GAGUUAGCAAUGAUUAUAAAAAUAAUUCUUCAUUUUGACUUACUUAAUUUGGGCAUGACAAACUUCUUAUUAUAAUCAUAAAAUCUGAGUUAC
Molecule: small nucleolar RNA, 93 nt
Filed under: Theobroma cacao (cacao)
Lineage: Eukaryota; Viridiplantae; Streptophyta; Magnoliopsida; Malvales; Malvaceae
Description: Small nucleolar RNA snoR8a
Rfam family: Small nucleolar RNA snoR8a
Source: Rfam by way of RNAcentral